This 484-nucleotide ribosomal RNA is filed under the name uncultured bacterium. RNAcentral's name for it is "partial 16S ribosomal RNA". It matches the Rfam family "Bacterial small subunit ribosomal RNA", at positions 30 to 507 of the family's 1533-position model. The record is from RNAcentral.
AUUGAACGCUGGCGGCAGGCCUAACACAUGCAAGUCGAGCGGAUGAAGGGAGCUUGCUCCUGGAUUCAGCGGCGGACGGGUGAGUAAUGCCUAGGAAUCUGCCUGGUAGUGGGGGAUAACGUCCGGAAACGGGCGCUAAUACCGCAUACGUCCUGCGGGAGCAAGUGGGGGAUCUUCGGACCUCACGCUAUCAGAUGAGCCUAGGUCGGAUUAGCUAGUUGGUGGGGUAAAGGCCUACCAAGGCGACGAUCCGUAACUGGUCUGAGAGGAUGGUCAGUCACACGGGAACUGAGACACGGUCCAUACGCCUACGGGAGGCAGCAGUGGGGAAUAUUGGACAAUGGUCGAAAGCCUGAUCCAGCCAUGCCGCGUGUGUGAAGAAGGUCUUCGGAUUGUAAAGCACGUUAAGUUGUGAGGAAGGGCAGUAAGUUGAUACCUUGCUGUUUUGACGUUACCAACAGAAUAAGCACCGGCUAACUUCGUG